RNAcentral lists this ribosomal RNA (253 nucleotides) under uncultured bacterium. RNAcentral's name for it is "partial 16S ribosomal RNA". It matches the Rfam family "Bacterial small subunit ribosomal RNA", at positions 524 to 776 of the family's 1533-position model. The record is from RNAcentral.
UACGUAGGUGGCAAGCGUUGUCCGGAUUUAUUGGGUUUAAAGGGUGCGUAGGCGGCCUUAUAAGUCAGUGCUGAAAUAUCCCGGCUUAACCGGGAGGGUGGCAUUGAUACUGUAGGGCUUGAGUAGAGUUGAGGUUGGCGGAAUUGACGGUGUAGCGGUGAAAUGCUUAGAUAUCGUCAAGAACACCGAUAGUGUAGACAGCUAACUAAGCUCAAACUGACGCUGAGGCACGAAAGUGUGGGGAUCAAACAGG